This 466-nucleotide ribosomal RNA is filed under the name uncultured bacterium. RNAcentral's name for it is "bacterial SSU rRNA". It matches the Rfam family "Bacterial small subunit ribosomal RNA", at positions 338 to 795 of the family's 1533-position model. The record is from RNAcentral.
CCUACGGGGGGCUGCAGUGGGGAAUAUUGGACAAUGGGGGCAACCCUGAUCCAGCCAUGCCGCGUGUGUGAAGAAGGCCUUUUGGUUGUAAAGCACUUUAAGCGAGGAGGAGGCUACCUGUAUUAAUACUAUAGGCUAGUGGACGUUACUCGCAGAAUAAGCACCGGCUAACUCUGUGCCAGCAGCCGCGGUAAUACAGAGGGUGCGAGCGUUAAUCGGAAUUACUGGGCGUAAAGCGCGCGUAGGCGGUUUGUUAAGUCGGAUGUGAAAUCCCCGGGCUCAACCUGGGAAUUGCAUUCGAUACUGGCAAGCUAGAGUAUGGGAGAGGAAGGUAGAAUUCCAGGUGUAGCGGUGAAAUGCGUAGAGAUCUGGAGGAAUACCGAUGGCGAAGGCAGCCUUCUGGCCUAAUACUGACGCUGAGGUGCGAAAGCAUGGGGAGCAAACAGGAUUAGAUACCCAUGUAGUC